UGGGGAAUAUUGCACAAUGGGCGCAAGCCUGAUGCAGCCAUGCCGCGUGUAUGAAGAAGGCCUUCGGGUUGUAAAGUACUUUCAGCGGGGAGGAAGGGAGUAAAGUUAAUACCUUUACUCAUUGACGUUACCCGCAGAAGAAGCACCGGCUAACUCUGUGCCAGCAGCCGCGGUAAGACGGAGGGUGCAAGCAUUAAUCGGAAUUACUGGGCGUAAAGCGCACGCAGGCGGUUUGUUAAGUCAGAUGUGAAAUCCCCGGGCUCAACCUGGGAACUGCAUCUGAUACUGGCAAGCUUGAGUCUCGUAGAGGGGGGUAGAAUUCCAGGUGUAGCGGUGAAAUGCGUAGAGAUCUGGAGGAAUACCGGUGGCGAAGGCGGCCCCCUGGACGAAGACUGACGCUCAGGUGCGAAAGCGUGGGGAGCAAACAGG
RNAcentral lists this ribosomal RNA (429 nucleotides) under Chloroflexota bacterium. RNAcentral describes it as "Chloroflexi bacterium partial 16S ribosomal RNA". It matches the Rfam family "Bacterial small subunit ribosomal RNA", at positions 355 to 776 of the family's 1533-position model. The record is from RNAcentral. Lineage: Bacteria; Bacillati; Chloroflexota.